Molecule: ribosomal RNA, 558 nt
Filed under: uncultured Bacteroidota bacterium
Lineage: Bacteria; Pseudomonadati; Bacteroidota
Description: bacterial SSU rRNA
Rfam family: Bacterial small subunit ribosomal RNA
Source: RNAcentral
CCUACGGGAGGCAGCAGUGGGGAAUAUUGCACAAUGGGGGAAACCCUGAUGCAGCAACGCCGCGUGAGUGACGAAGGCCUUCGGGUUGUAAAACUCUGUCUUAGCUGACGAUAAUGACGGUAAGCUAGGAGGAAGCCACGGCUAACUCCGUGCCAGCAGCCGCGGUAAUACGGAGGAUGCAAGCGUUAUCCGGAUUUAUUGGGUUUAAAGGGUGCGUAGGCGGUUGGAUAAGUCAGCGGUGAAAGUUUUCUGCUUAACAGGAAAAAUGCCGUUGAUACUGUCUGGCUAGAAUAUGGUUGCUGUGAGUGGAAUGUGUGGUGUAGCGGUGAAAUGCUUAGAUAUCACACAGAAUAUCGAUUGCGAAGGCAGCUCACAAAGCCAUUAUUGACGCUGAGGCACGAAAGUGUGGGGAUCAAACAGGAUUAGAUACCCUGGUAGUCCACACUGUAAACGAUGAUAACUCGCUGUCGGCGAUACACAGUCGGUGGCCAAGCGAAAGCGAUAAGUUAUCCACCUGGGGAGUACGACCGCAAGGUUGAAACUCAAAGGAAUUGACGG